UCCUCCUCCACCUCAUGUGCCAGCUGGAGCCGGGAGCGGUGCGUGCGCGCUGGUGCGUGAUGUGACAGCGCGCCGUGGAGACGCAGCGCGCUCAGUUUGGGCUCAUUGUGUUUGCCGACAGUGGCGCGGACAGCAGUUCGAACGGGAUUUGGAAUAAGAAACGCGUUGCUGUUUUCUGACUUGGAGAGAAGAAAGAAGGGACACUCCUCUGGAAUUUCCUCAGGACUUGAUUCGGACAGCUUUGAUGUGACCAACGAUUCCAGCGUAGGGAGAUUCUGAGGGGUUCUCUUCUUUCAUCGCUCUGGUCUGACGCAGCAACUGCAGCAAAGUGUUCCAAACAGGUGGGGAAAAAGGGGGCGUUCAGUUCUCUGGUGUGUCGGUGAGGUAUAACAGCAGCAUUGGGCAGCAUGUUGGCACCUGCAUGACCGGCAAAGAGGCACCUCAUUUCUUGUUCUCUUUCCUGAGACAUCAACCACAGGAUGAGGUCUGCGGCAGGUCUCAGGAGAGAGAAUGUUCCAUGACUUUCACACCUUUGACCUCAAGCUUUUGAAGCAUUGGGACGGUUGCUUGGGUGCUCAAAGGCUGUGAAUACCCUGCAUCUGAGAAAUCAGACCAGACUGACUCACAGGGCUCUGUGAGCCAGCGCCACCGAGGCUGCCAAAGCAUGCUGGUGCCAAGCUGUCCCACCAUGCACAGAGCCAGACCCAC
Thalassophryne amazonica is the source of this 708-nucleotide long non-coding RNA. RefSeq lists it as uncharacterized. The transcript is spliced from 9 exons. The record is from RefSeq and is a predicted model, not a curated record. NCBI's taxonomy places the organism in Eukaryota, Metazoa, Chordata, Actinopteri, Batrachoidiformes, Batrachoididae.